Molecule: ribosomal RNA, 467 nt
Filed under: uncultured bacterium
Lineage: Bacteria
Description: partial 16S ribosomal RNA
Rfam family: Bacterial small subunit ribosomal RNA
Source: RNAcentral
ACGAACGCUGGCGGUGUGCUUAACACAUGCAAGUCGCACGGAAAGGCCCUGCUUUUGUGGGGUGCUCGAGUGGCGAACGGGUGAGUAACACGUGAGUAACCUGCCCUUGACUUUGGGAUAACUUCAGGAAACUGGGGCUAAUACCGGAUAGGAGCUCCUGCUGCAUGGUGGGGGUUGGAAAGUUUCGGCGGUUGGGGAUGGACUCGCGGCUUAUCAGCUUGUUGGUGGGGUAGUGGCUUACCAAGGCUUUGACGGGUAGCCGGCCUGAGAGGGUGACCGGCCACAUUGGGACUGAGAUACGGCCCAGACUCCUACGGGAGGCAGCAGUGGGGAAUAUUGCACAAUGGGCGGAAGCCUGAUGCAGCAACGCCGCGUGCGGGAUGACGGCCUUCGGGUUGUAAACCGCUUUCGCCUGUGACGAAGCGUGAGUGACGGUAAUGGGUAAAGAAGCACCGGCUAACUACGUG